RNAcentral lists this ribosomal RNA (249 nucleotides) under uncultured bacterium. Its description in RNAcentral is "partial 16S ribosomal RNA". It matches the Rfam family "Bacterial small subunit ribosomal RNA", at positions 85 to 334 of the family's 1533-position model. The record is from RNAcentral.
CGGUUAAAGAGCGGCGGACGGGUGAGUAACGCGUGGGUAACCUGCCUCAUACAGGGGGAUAACAGUUGGAAACGGCUGCUAAUACCGCAUAAGCGCACAGUACCGCAUGGUACGGUGUGAAAAACUCCGGUGGUAUGAGAUGGACCCGCGUCUGAUUAGGUAGUUGGUGGGGUAACGGCCUACCAAGCCGACGAUCAGUAGCCGACCUGAGAGGGUGACCGGCCACAUUGGGACUGAGACACGGCCCAA